Molecule: long non-coding RNA, 697 nt
Filed under: Astyanax mexicanus (Mexican tetra)
Lineage: Eukaryota; Metazoa; Chordata; Actinopteri; Characiformes; Acestrorhamphidae
Description: lncRNA (ENSAMXG00005013563.1)
Source: RNAcentral
AUCAUGUUCUCCUCCACCAGUCUUACACACUGCUUUUGGAUAACUUUAUGCUACUCACUCCUGGUGCAAAAAUUCAAGCAGUUCAGUUUGGUUUGAUGGCUUGUGAUCAUCCAUCUUACUCUUGAUUAUAUUCCAGAGGUUUUUAACUUGGUAAAAUCAAAGAAACUCAUAAUUUUUAAGUGGUCUCUUAUUUUUUUUUCCAGAGCUGUAGGAACAGUCUUGAUAAGUCUGGACUCUGCAGAUCCUGAGGUACAUAGUAGACAAGGAGGAGCCUGGGCAUCAGAACUGAACCAACCCAGAGGUGGUGAGGAAGUACAUGGAGGAGCAUGAGCCGUCAGCUUCUGAAAGGCCGCAAAGAGAGGCCUGCACAUGCUGCACUUUCACCAGUGCCAACAUGAUUGACAAUCAGUUCCAGCAACAGGCCACCCUUCUAUCAUCCGUCAUGGUAAAAAAACAAGUCUCCCUCUUUUUCUAUUCUUUCUAUAGAUAUAUCUGAUUUCAAUUAAUCAAUGUUGUGAUGCGAAACCCAACGACUAUAGAAAACAUAUGAUGGGCAUCAUAGUUUAACACCUUUCCAUUCUAUAGAAUGAAGGCAAAAUUAAAAGAAGAUUUUAGCCUUCUCCCAGACCAUGGGCCCUAUCGUAAACCCUGCUCAAGACAGGUUGAGAUGCUUGUUGCUUUCUUACACCCCGUCAAC